Molecule: long non-coding RNA, 906 nt
Organism: Dermacentor silvarum
Lineage: Eukaryota; Metazoa; Arthropoda; Arachnida; Ixodida; Ixodidae
Exons: 5
Source: RefSeq, a predicted model, not a curated record
UUUUGUACCGACAAGGCAAGCGCGCGUAAAACCACGUAUAGCAUAUUGCUCUCGUGAACCAAACUUCGUUAAAGCUAUGCGAAUAUUCUUUGUCCUAUGUGUAUGUGUCAUUACUAUGAUAGCGCAAAGCAGUUUUUCUUAUACACAACAUGGUUCCAUCACCCGCGAGAUGGAUGGAUGGCAAUUCUUUUCACGGAGGAUGAUAUACGUGAUGCUCAAACGGAGCUAUGCUGUCCCUGGAGGUCAAAACGAUGCAAUCUGUGUAAAGGCUCCCUUUCAACCUACAAUAUAUGCGAACAAGAAAGAAAUUGACAAGACCUUCACUUACCGGAACAUGAGCUCAACACGUAAAGUGUUCCCCAAUGCAGCACCUAGUUCACCUGCUCACUGGCCCAUCGCUAAAAUUCGUAUGACGUUUUCUGUGGGAAAUUAUAAUGCAAGUAAUAUUCAUAGGCACAACAACAAGGCCUAAAUUAUGUAAACUCAACGAUUUGGAUGAGUGGUUUCGGAUAUGAACUCCCUGCGCCACAGUGGCACUUCUUGUACGUUAAUCCGCACUGCGCGGUCGUGAAUACAUUAUCUUUGAAAUUUAUUUCAAAAGAGGCUACUACGAAAAACCAAGAGAGAAGCCGCCUUGUGAACUUUGGGUGAGCGUGAGCAGGAUAACUAAUGUAAGCGAAACAGAUCAAGCGGGAAGAUGGAACUUGUGCCAAGACUUCUUCAAUCAAACAUGCAACACACAUAAAAUAUACACGGUGUAUAAUGCUGAUCUAUGCGGCCCGAUGCAUUGAAAGAAACGCCAUCGAAAGGAAAGAUGAUCUGCAGUUUGCCAAAAAUAUAUUCUUUCAGAGCAGCCAUCCGACGGUCAAAACAACUCAGCUGCAAUAAAAUUCACUUCAUCAGUAA